This 160-nucleotide ribosomal RNA is filed under the name Plasmodium knowlesi. RNAcentral's name for it is "partial 18S ribosomal RNA". Lineage: Eukaryota; Apicomplexa; Aconoidasida; Haemosporida; Plasmodiidae. The record is from RNAcentral.
UGUUAGCGAGAGCCACAAAAAAGCGAAUUCCAAUAUAUGUUUUCGGGCUUUAUGUGCGCAUCCUCUACCUAUCAAGUGUUUUUUUAAUUAUAAGUCGAAAGUUUCUUUUUAAAAUCUUCUUUAGCUUAAAACAUACGGAAGAUUUUGUUACUUUGAGUAA